Molecule: long non-coding RNA, 1031 nt
Filed under: Heterocephalus glaber (naked mole-rat)
Lineage: Eukaryota; Metazoa; Chordata; Mammalia; Rodentia; Bathyergidae
Description: lncRNA (ENSHGLG00000036610.1)
Source: RNAcentral
CGCCCCAUUUUGAGAGUUUUACUAAAUUUCUGAAUCGCCCAGGCUGAGCUGGAAUCUGUAAUCUUCCUGCCUCAACCUCCCAGAGUGCUAGGAUUAGAGCCAGGAAACUACUGUGAUGGAUGGACUAGAGUGCUAGAAGAUAUUCUUUAAGGAAAACUUAACAAGAGAUUCUGCACACUGUGUUGAACUAGAUGUAUAAAGAACCAGCCUCUGGUGUAUGAAGGAACUGAACUCUGACUUCCUGCACUAAUACAGUGAUACCUCAGUUGUCAAACUCAGUCCUUUUCCAAUGUUCAAACACUGAAAAGUUCGGGAACUGAAAUUAUUUCCCGUAAGAAAGAAUGGAAAACCAAAUAACUGGUAUGAGGACCAAAAUUAAACUUAUAAAUUCUUUUUUUAGGAAUUGAACAAACUUUGCUAUGAUUUAUUUCUUUAUUGUGCUUCUCGGUUUUCUUUUUAGCUUCACUGCUGGUAUCACUAACUUUCUUUGGAGCCAUGGUUACAAUACUUUAUGCAAAUGAAGCACAAAAAUUGACGGUGACGAAUGUUUUAAAGCCAUACAAACACUGUAUGUUUUCUGGGCAAGACUGUUUCUUAGACUGAAGCUUCACUCCUCCAUGUCGAUGGCAAAACUGAUGCGUGACUCACUCUCUGACCAUAAUGGUUUUUUUGAGUCAGACUUUCGGUUUAACUAUUGAACAAAGUUAUGAACACUGAGCAUAUUCCUUUAAAUCUUCUUGUUCAACUAGUGGAAAGUUUGAGCUUAGAGCCAUUGGACAACUGAGGUAUCACUAGUAAUUUUGUGUGUUAUUUGCUAAGUCCAUUAUUCAUCUAUAAAGUGGUAAUUACACUAGUAAUUUUUACAUUAUUGGAUUGUUAUGUAUUAAAAUAGAGAUCCCUUAAGAAAAUGUCCCAUGGUAUGAUUUCCUCAAAUAAUAUCUAGUUGAAAUCUGUUUCUUGCUUUCGAACUUCUGCAGUGGGGGGGACAAUUUUUAGUGUCUGGGGGCACACUUGCAUAUGCAUACAUACAC